GUGGGGAAUUUUGGACAAUGGGCGCAAGCCUGAUCCAGCAAUGCCGCGUGCAGGAAGAAGGCCUUCGGGUUGUAAACUGCUUUUGUACGGAACGAAACGGUCCUGGUUAAUACCUGGGGCUAAUGACGGUACCGUAAGAAUAAGCACCGGCUAACUACGUGCCAGCAGCCGCGGUAAUACGUAGGGUGCAAGCGUUAAUCGGAAUUACUGGGCGUAAAGCGUGCGCAGGCGGUUUUGUAAGACAGGCGUGAAAUCCCCGGGCUCAACCUGGGAAUUGCGCUUGUGACUGCUAGGCUGGAGUGCGUCAGAGGGGGAUGGAAUUCCGCGUGUAGCAGUGAAAUGCGUAGAUAUGCGGAGGAACACCGAUGGCGAAGGCAAUCCCCUGGGCCUGCACUGACGCUCAUGCACGAAAGCGUGGGGAGCAAACAGGAUUAGAAACCCCAGUAGUCC
RNAcentral lists this ribosomal RNA (450 nucleotides) under uncultured bacterium. RNAcentral's name for it is "partial 16S ribosomal RNA". It matches the Rfam family "Bacterial small subunit ribosomal RNA", at positions 354 to 796 of the family's 1533-position model. The record is from RNAcentral.